Molecule: small RNA, 182 nt
Filed under: Caballeronia choica
Lineage: Bacteria; Pseudomonadati; Pseudomonadota; Betaproteobacteria; Burkholderiales; Burkholderiaceae
Description: Burkholderia choica Manganese sequence
Rfam family: Manganese Mn2+ riboswitch aptamer (yybP-ykoY)
About the family: This RNA was originally discovered in E. coli during a large scale screen and was named SraF. The family was later found to exist upstream of related families of protein genes in many bacteria, including the the yybP and ykoK genes in B. subtilis.
Source: RNAcentral
GCGGCUGUCCUUGGGGAGUAGCCGGCUUCCGAGCAUCGGAAGCGCUCAUGUCAACACGCUUGGUCGAUCGACCGUGGCAUGAGCCGCCCGCAGUAGUUUUGUCAGGUUGGCAAGACCAUCGACAUGUCAGCGCGACCGGCCGGGCGCGCGGGCAUGUCGCAUGUUCAUGCCCGGCCCGAACG